This is a small nuclear RNA of Otolemur garnettii (small-eared galago), 124 nucleotides long. Its record names the gene U4. It matches the Rfam family "U4 spliceosomal RNA". Rfam says of the family: U4 small nuclear RNA (U4 snRNA) is a component of the major U2-dependent spliceosome. The record is from Ensembl. Lineage: Eukaryota; Metazoa; Chordata; Mammalia; Primates; Galagidae.
AGCUUUGUGCAAUGACAGGAUUGUAACCAAUGAGGUUUAUCCGAGGUGUGAUUACUGCUAACUGAAAACUUUUACAAAACAAAAAGUAUAUAUAUGUGUGAUUUGGGCAUGGGUGGCAUGCACC